RNAcentral lists this long non-coding RNA (948 nucleotides) under Brachypodium distachyon (stiff brome). Its description in RNAcentral is "long non-coding RNA (BDIS_LNC005560)". Lineage: Eukaryota; Viridiplantae; Streptophyta; Magnoliopsida; Poales; Poaceae. The record is from RNAcentral.
UGUCGACGUCGACGUGGAGCGGGGGCUCCACUGGUCGGGAGGACGAAAAGCACAGGAGGAAGACGGGCUCGUGAGAGAACGCGUACUUCACGGAACACGCCUUCAACGCAGGGAAGCGCAAAGCGAGCGGCGCGCGGGGGAGUUGGGCCGCAACCUGCGCCGCGGGGCUGCGCGGCUGGCGCAUGCGAAGCUGGGCCGGCACGGUCGAAAGGUAAGCAGGUAGGUUUUUAUUUUAUUUUCCCUUUUCCUUUUUUCUGUUUUCUAUUUUGCAAAUAGUUUUUGGAUUCAAAUUUCAAAUACCAUCUUGAAAAGGUGAGAAGUAGGAGAAAUCAAAUAUGGCACUACUAUUUGUAAAUAUUCAAAUGGUGUUAAAAGUUUUAAAACAAAACUCAAAGAAGGAAGAUUCAUAUUUGAAUCUUCAAGCAAAUUCAAACAACAAGAUUUCAAACCACAACUUAAAAUGCGCGAGACAGCGCUGGGGAAGGGAGGAGGUACGGCGUCGCUUAAGUAGGGGCACGGAGCUAUCCCUGUCGCUGUCGACAUCGACGUGGCGCGGGGGCUCCACCGGUCGGGAGAACGAAAAGCAGAGGAGGAAGACGGGCUCGUGAGAGCGUACUUCACGGAAUACGCCUUCAACGCGGGGAAGCGCAAAGCGGGCGGCACGUGGUGGAGUUGGGCCGUGGCCUCGUUGCUGAGCUGUGCGGCUGGCGCGCGCGAAGCUGGGCCGACUCGGCCGAAAGGUAAGCAGGUAGGUUUUUCUUUUCUUUUUCCUUUUCCCUUUUUCUGUUUUCUAUUUUGCAAAUAGUUUUUGGAUUCAAAUUUCAAAUACCAUUUUGAAAAGCUGAGAAGUAGGAGAAAUCAAAUAUGGCACUAAUAUUUGUAAAUAUUCAAAUGGGGUUAAAGGUUUUAAAACAAAACCCAUUUGAAUGACAUUGGUAAAAUAGAGGA